RNAcentral lists this long non-coding RNA (1388 nucleotides) under Fragaria vesca (wild strawberry). RNAcentral describes it as "long non-coding RNA (FVES_LNC005202)". The record is from RNAcentral. Lineage: Eukaryota; Viridiplantae; Streptophyta; Magnoliopsida; Rosales; Rosaceae.
UCGUCGGCUAUUGUCCAGACUUUAGCCGACGAACUAUUUUCGUCGGCUAUUGUUCCAGCUUUUAGCCGACGAACUAUUUUUCGUCGGCUAUUGUUCCAGCUUUUAGCCGACGAACUAUUUUUCGUCGGCUAUUGUUCCAGACUUUAGCCGACGAACAUUUUUCGUCGGCUAUUGUUCCAGCUUUUAGUCGACGAACUAUUUUUCGUCGGCUAUUGUUCCAGACUUUAGCCGACGAACAGUAUAUUCGUCGGCUUUACUGACAAACUUUAGCCGACGAAUAUCUCUGUUUCGUCGGCUAAAGUAUAUAAUUAAAAUAUUUAAAAAUAACUAUAGCCGACGACAUAGAGUCUGUUUCGUCGGCUUUAAUAGUGUUUACCCGACGAAACAUACCAUAAUUCGUCGGCUAAACCCUUUGGAAAAAAAAAAAUUACUAUAGCCGACGAAUUGUGGCAUGUUUCGUCGGCUAUAACGCCAUUCCAGUAAAAAAAAUACACGAAAUUCUUAAAUUACCAUUCCAAGCAAGCUGCAAAAUACACCAAAACAAUUCCAUAUAUAUAACCUACAAGAAGCACAUAAAACUAUAUAAGGUAUCAACUACACAAAAUCUAGAUGGUCUAAAUCAAUAUCCGAAUCUCGGACCUGCUGGUGAGAAGAUUGCGGCGGCAGAGGUAACUCUAUAGGCGCAGGCAUGGGCGGAGGUGGAAGUCCCUGUUGCUGGGCAGCUGUAAAAUCCUGGAAGUACUGGAACAUCUGCUGCUGCUGGGCCUGCUGGGCGGCAUGUAGGGCUCUAGUAAAGGCUCUAUAUUCGGCGAUCUGGGCGGCAUGAGCGGCAGCCUGAGCAGCCUGAGCGUCAGCCUGAGCGGCAGCCUGAGCAGCAUGAGCGGCAGCCUGAGCGGCUUGCUGUUCCCGUAGUCUCUCAACUUCCGACUCUAGCUGAGUCGUCCUGCUGUUGGUCGAGCCCGCCUUUCGUUGAAAUCCUGGAGUGGUCUUCAGGACCCCCUGGCCCUUCUUUCCUAGACCCCGGCAGUAGAAGUUGUUUUCUCGCGGUGGGAAGGCUGUGCCUAUGAUCCUCGCCCCAACCCUCGGAUCUAAAGUGUCGAUCCGGGAAAUGGCUUCGGACAUCUCUUCCUCCUGCGUGUCCGGCCAUGUCUCCCUCACUAUAGCACUCAUCACCUCGUCACUAGCCUCCCUCACCUUUGCCUAAUUGGAUAGGAAAAAAUUAUUAAUUAACAUUUUGACAUAUAUAUAAGUAAAAUUAAAAAUUCCGUAAAAAGGAAAUAGUACUUACUAUAUCCUCCUGGGAUCAGGAUAUGCCUCUCGUACGUAUAGACGUACUGGUUGACCUCUGGAUGUUCCCUGGCCGCCUCGUCCAUGAAGACAGCGAACGG